RNAcentral lists this ribosomal RNA (463 nucleotides) under uncultured bacterium. Its description in RNAcentral is "partial 16S ribosomal RNA". It matches the Rfam family "Bacterial small subunit ribosomal RNA", at positions 29 to 507 of the family's 1533-position model. The record is from RNAcentral.
ACGAACGCUGGCGGCGUGCUUAACACAUGCCAGUCGAACGGAAAGGCCCAGCUUGCUGGGUGCUCGAGUGGCGAACGGGUGAGUAACACGUGGGUGAUCUGCCCCUAACUUCGGGAUAAGCUUGGGAAACUGGGUCUAAUACCGGAUAGGACAAUCGUUUAGUGUCGGUUGUGGAAAGUUUUUUCGGUUAGGGAUGAGCCCGCGGCCUAUCAGCUUGUUGGUGGGGUAAUGGCCUACCAAGGCGUCGACGGGUAGCCGGCCUGAGAGGGUGGACGGCCACAUUGGGACUGAGAUACGGCCCAGACUCCUACGGGAGGCAGCAGUGGGGAAUAUUGCACAAUGGGCGCAAGCCUGAUGCAGCGACGCCGCGUGGGGGAUGACGGCCUUCGGGUUGUAAACCUCUUUCGACAGGGACGAAGCUUUGGUGACGGUACCUGUAUAAGAAGCACCGGCUAACUACGUG